This 253-nucleotide ribosomal RNA is filed under the name uncultured bacterium. Its description in RNAcentral is "partial 16S ribosomal RNA". It matches the Rfam family "Bacterial small subunit ribosomal RNA", at positions 524 to 776 of the family's 1533-position model. The record is from RNAcentral.
UACGUAGGGGGCAAGCGUUGUCCGGAAUCAUUGGGCGUAAAGAGCGUGUAGGCGGCCCGAUAAGUCGGCUGUGAAAGUCAGGGGCUCAACCCUUGAAAGCCGGCCGAUACUGUCGGACUAGAGUCCGGAAGAGGCAAGUGGAAUUCCCGGUGUAGCGGUGAAAUGCGCAGAUAUCGGGAGGAACACCAAUGGCGAAGGCAGCUUGCUGGGACGGUACUGACGCUGAGGCGCGAAAGCGUGGGGAGCAAACAGG